Molecule: ribosomal RNA, 112 nt
Filed under: Caerostris extrusa
Lineage: Eukaryota; Metazoa; Arthropoda; Arachnida; Araneae; Araneidae
Source: RNAcentral
ACGGCCAUACCAUGGUAGAAUAUACCGGUUCUCGUUAGAUCACCGAAGUCAAGCAUCAUUGGGCACGAUCAGUACUUGGGAGGGUGACCACCUGGGAACACCGCGUGCCGUU